This 75-nucleotide transfer RNA is filed under the name Alphaproteobacteria bacterium. RNAcentral's name for it is "tRNA-Glu". It matches the Rfam family "tRNA". Rfam says of the family: Transfer RNA (tRNA) molecules are approximately 80 nucleotides in length. Their secondary structure includes four short double-helical elements and three loops (D, anti-codon, and T loops). Further hydrogen bonds mediate the characteristic L-shaped molecular structure. tRNAs have two regions of fundamental functional importance: the anti-codon, which is responsible for specific mRNA codon recognition, and the 3' end, to which the tRNAs corresponding amino acid is attached (by aminoacyl-tRNA synthetases). tRNAs cope with the degeneracy of the genetic code in two manners: having more than one tRNA (with a specific anti-codon) for a particular amino acid; and 'wobble' base-pairing, i.e. permitting non-standard base-pairing at the 3rd anti-codon position. Lineage: Bacteria; Pseudomonadati; Pseudomonadota; Alphaproteobacteria. RNAcentral also lists the same sequence under 5 other names. The record is from RNAcentral.
GUCCCCUUCGUCUAGCGGUCAGGACAUCGCCCUCUCACGGCGAAAACAGGGGUUCGAUUCCCCUAGGGGAUACCA